GCAGAUUCUACUUGUAACAAGGAAAGAUACUUUAGGAGCCUGUGAUAUACAUAGAUAUUUGCAUUACAAAAGCUUGUAUUCCAAUUCUGGCUUUACCAGUUAAUAGCUAUGUAAACUCGGGUGGUUUUUGCUUAGGUAUUCUGAGGUUUAGUUUUCUCCUAUGUAAUUUAUCAGGUAAUAAUAAUAAGUUGAUAACGUAUAAAAAUGUUUACUAUAUAAAGUACCAGUCUUAUAGUCAUCUGAAGUUGUGUACAAAUGGUAAUUCUUUUGUUUUUGCCCUAUAUUAUCUCAUACUAUGCCUUCUGAACAGGAGAAGAUGGUAUUAGAAAAUUCCACUUAAUGGUGAGUAUAUAUGUGUUUGAAAUGAUGAUGACACAAUUUAUUAUUAUUUUCGUUUGCCUUUCUUGAAUUUCUUCUACUGGGAAAGCUGAAAGAGAAAUGUAAUAAAAAGGAGACAUGUGCUCACUAGGCAGAAUUUAUUUUUAGUCAACAAACAAAAAUUUAAAUUUUCAGGCUUCAACCUAUGUACUCAGAUUGAAAAAUACAUUUUAUUUUAUACCUCCAUAUCAGUUCAUGUUGAUAAGAAAAAAAACAGACUAACAUCAUCCAAAACAGGUGCAUUCAAAUACAGAUGUAGAAAUUUGAUUACCUGUCAUUAUCCAUGUACCUCUAUUUGCCUUUCCUGCUAUACUGUAGGGUCAUAUACACUACCUGUCAAUUAGGGUGCAGACAUGUCAUUUGUUCUUUGGAUUUGUUUGUCAAAAAUGGCACUGCCAUCCUUUUUUGGUUUGAAAGCUUGUUUCAGUCAGCCACUUUCCUGAGCUAAACUCUAGUCUUUAUUAUUCAGAGUAAUGUAACUAUAUUCCUGUUUAAAGUGGC
Molecule: long non-coding RNA, 879 nt
Filed under: Homo sapiens (human)
Lineage: Eukaryota; Metazoa; Chordata; Mammalia; Primates; Hominidae
Description: HSALNT0092127
Source: RNAcentral